GGAACUGAGUAUUCUCUGGACUCAGGGACACCAGACAACUCUUGGGCCCGGACUGGGGGACAUCUCAGAAAUGAGGUUUCAGUGAAAGCCUGCACACCAACAAUGAGAAUCCUAGACCCUUCUCCAGUUGGCUCCCAGGAUACUGGUAGAGAAGUUUAUAUUUUGCAGGCAGAAGAUGGGAGGUUUUCUCUCCAAGGGAAAUGAUGAGCCCAAGAAGAAAAAGACACUUGAGGGAAGCUGCGACAUGAAAGUAAGAGAGGCACCAAACAACUUGAAAGGAAAUUUGCCACAAAGACAUAAUGAAUACAGAGAGGGGGGAAAAUACUUCCGAAAUAGUCUUAGUGAGUUAAGAGAACAUUAAUCCUUAAAACAAGAACAGGAAACUAUAAAAAUAAUAUUCAGUAAGAAAAAUAUUUUAUACAUUAAAUUAUGAUGGCAGAAAAUUUGAAAACAUAUGAACGGAAGGUAUGAAAAUUAAGCUUAGUAAAUCUCUCAGAAAGUAGAAUAAGAAGGUAGAGAUGGCCAACAUUAAAGGACAUGAAAUUAGAAAAUCAACCCAGAGUGCUCAAUGUCUAAAUAUUAGGACUUCUGAAAGGACAGAGAAAAAAGGGGAAAUUUAAUAAAGGCACUUGGAUAUUGAUUUCUACCCUGAGAAAUAUCAUCAAGCAUCCAUCCCAUUAAAUUAAAAGAUGCCUUCACAUGUUUAUAUAAUUUUGACAUUAUUUUUGAAAUAUACACCAGGGGAAAAAAAAAAGAGUCCUAGAAAUGUCUGGGGAAAAAAUAAACAGCCCAUAUGCAAAGAGACCUGGAAUAGAAGUAGUAAUUGACUUUUCCAAAGCAACCGUGGAAGCUGGACGACAAUAAAAAAAUUCCUUCAGGGAUCUAUGGAAAAUUAUUUCUAACCUAGAAUUUUCAUUCAGCCAAAUUAUUAAUGGAGUGUGAGGGUAGCAUAAAAAUAUUUUCAGUUGGUACAAAUAUAUUCAUGGGAUCUUAGUAUGCUUCUAAAGGCUGUGCUUCACCAAAUAUGAAAUAAACCAAAAGAGAAGAAGACACAAGAUUCAGUGAACAACUGCACUCUCAAUUUCCUGGAGGAAGGCCCAAGGAGGACUCAGCAGGACCACUGCACAUCAGGCCCUGAGACCCGGUGGUCUGCACUGGGACAGAAUGACUUUCUGAGGGAAACAACUGAAGAGAUAGAUUUGCCGAUGUAUUGAGAAGAGUUUACACCUCGGGGUUUAGGAGUACACAAACUACC
This 1255-nucleotide long non-coding RNA is filed under the name Pan troglodytes (chimpanzee). Its description in RNAcentral is "long non-coding RNA NONPTRT014875". Lineage: Eukaryota; Metazoa; Chordata; Mammalia; Primates; Hominidae. The record is from RNAcentral.